UCUAAUCGGGUCCCUUUGCUGAAGCACUGUGGGUGGAUAGCUACCAUACUGCUGACAGUAAUAGCUUCCCACAUCUUCGGCCUGGAGGUUGCUGAUGUUGAGGGUGAAGUCUGUCCCAGACCCACUGCC
Molecule: long non-coding RNA, 129 nt
Organism: Lutra lutra (Eurasian river otter)
Lineage: Eukaryota; Metazoa; Chordata; Mammalia; Carnivora; Mustelidae
Exons: 3
Source: RefSeq, a predicted model, not a curated record